RNAcentral lists this ribosomal RNA (388 nucleotides) under uncultured bacterium. RNAcentral's name for it is "bacterial SSU rRNA". It matches the Rfam family "Bacterial small subunit ribosomal RNA", at positions 29 to 408 of the family's 1533-position model. The record is from RNAcentral.
AAUGAACGCUGGCGGCGCGCCUAAUACAUGCAAGUCGAGCGAGAAGACGUAGCAAUACGUUUGUAAAGCGGCGAACGGGUGAGGAAUACAUGGGUAACCUACCCUCGAGUGGGGAAUAACUAGCCGAAAGGUUAGCUAAUACCGCGUACGCUUCUUGGACUUCGGUUCAGGGAGGAAAGCGAUGCCGAGGGUAUCGCGCUCUUGGAUGGGCUCAUGUCCUAUCAGCUUGUUGGGAGGUAACGGCUCACCAAGGCUUCGACGGGUAGCUGGUCUGAGAGGACGAUCAGCCACACUGGCACUGCGACACGGGCCAGACUCCUACGGGAGGCAGCAGUAAGGAAUAUUGCGCAAUGGGCGAAAGCCUGACGCAGCGACGCCGCGUGGGGGA